This 1255-nucleotide long non-coding RNA is filed under the name Fragaria vesca (wild strawberry). RNAcentral's name for it is "long non-coding RNA (FVES_LNC001144)". Lineage: Eukaryota; Viridiplantae; Streptophyta; Magnoliopsida; Rosales; Rosaceae. The record is from RNAcentral.
UGAAAAAGAAUGGCUAUCAAUCCUAUCAUUGUACGAAGGACGAGAAUAUAUGCCAUCUCCCACUGGCAUGGCCUGCACUCACCCAUGUGAUCGAUGUGUCACCACUCACCACCAAAUCACUGUACAUAGAUUCCCUUUUUCUUCUAUUAAUUCUCAGGAGAAGUCUUUGAAGCUUAAUUCUUGCAUUUCCAAAGAAGCUUCAUCACAAUCCAAGUCUUCCAUCAUAUAGAACUGAUCAAUAAGCAACACCUGGUCUUGCCGACUUGCAGUACUAGCUAGCACCAUUAACACCCUCUCUUCUACAAGAGCAAUCAAGUUGUAUCUCCGAAAAUGAAUAACAGUGAUGCGAAGAAGAAGAGGGAAGAGGCAAGAACAAGAGCUAGGGAAAGAACAGAGCAGAAACUGAAGAUCAGAUCAACAAGCUGCCAAACCAAUCAGGCUAAGGAUCUAAACCCUUUCAUAAUUAAUUUUAUGCCCAGCCAAGACUACAAAUUCACUUAUCAUUGUCAUUCACCUAAACCCGGCCAGAACGUUCCUCAAGUUUAACUGAGCCAGAAGCUUUUCUCACUGCAGAGUGCAGCGCUUAUAUUAUGAAGUGGGACAGUUACAAUCUUUGAAAGUGUAUGCGAGAAGGAGAAGAGCGCAAUUAUUUAUGUUUUCAGUAUUAUUGCAGUUUGCUUAAUUCAGAUUCUAUUUGAGCUUUUUAUUGGUAAUUAAAUUUGAAGAUGUUGUAAUAUAGAUAUGCUAUCUCUUCUAUAUAAGAAUUGGGUCAUGCAUGUGGAUAUAUAGUGUGUGUAUAUGAUCUUACUAUCAUAUUUUUCAAGCUUCAUGUUUACUUAGAUCAUGAGUAGCUAGCAAAGUGGUACAAAAAAGACAGUUGAAACUUGAAAACGAAGAAAACUACUAGGAACAAUAUUGUGCUAGCUCAUCCAUCACUAGCUUCUUAACUGUUUAACAUUGAAGUUCCUACCAUAGCAGUAGAUAUGUUUGAUAUUAUUAGAUGAGAACGUACUACAAAUCACAUACAUAACUAUGUGUGCUUGAUCGGCUCGGAUGGAGUUCAUAACAGUAUUGAUCUUCCUCGUCAUGGCCUGGGCGCGCUAGCUGAAGCAAUGUAUUGGUAAGGGCCACCUAUAGCUGGCAAUCAGCUUGUUCCAGGUAUAGAAAAAACAACAUCAAACACCAAUCCUUGCUUAUUUCUUUUGUUUGUGUGAAAUUUCUCAGAUCAGUCAAUAUAUAUAGCUGAGUAUCUUAC